This 217-nucleotide ribosomal RNA is filed under the name Enterobacter roggenkampii. RNAcentral describes it as "partial 23S ribosomal RNA". It matches the Rfam family "Bacterial large subunit ribosomal RNA", at positions 1 to 219 of the family's 2925-position model. Lineage: Bacteria; Pseudomonadati; Pseudomonadota; Gammaproteobacteria; Enterobacterales; Enterobacteriaceae. The record is from RNAcentral.
GGUUAAGCGACUAAGCGUACACGGUGGAUGCCCUGGCAGUCAGAGGCGAUGAAGGACGUGCUAAUCUGCGAAAAGCGCCGGCGAGGUGAUAUGAACCUUUGACCCGGCGAUGUCCGAAUGGGGAAACCCAGUGUGUUCCGACACACUAUCGUUAACUGAAUACAUAGGUUAACGAGGCGAACCGGGGGAACUGAAACAUCUAAGUACCCCGAGGAAA